UACAACCGUUGGCAUGAUUAGAAGGACUA
This 29-nucleotide non-coding RNA is filed under the name Rattus norvegicus (Norway rat). The record is from RNAcentral. Lineage: Eukaryota; Metazoa; Chordata; Mammalia; Rodentia; Muridae.